Molecule: ribosomal RNA, 225 nt
Filed under: Escherichia coli
Lineage: Bacteria; Pseudomonadati; Pseudomonadota; Gammaproteobacteria; Enterobacterales; Enterobacteriaceae
Description: partial 16S ribosomal RNA
Rfam family: Bacterial small subunit ribosomal RNA
Source: RNAcentral
AAAUUGAAGAGUUUGAUCAUGGCUCAGAUUGAACGCUGGCGGCAGGCCUAACACAUGCAAGUCGAACGGUAACAGGAAACAGCUUGCUGUUUCGCUGACGAGUGGCGGACGGGUGAGUAAUGUCUGGGAAACUGCCUGAUGGAGGGGGAUAACUACUGGAAACGGUAGCUAAUACCGCAUAACGUCGCAAGACCAAAGAGGGGGACCUUAGGGCCUCUUGCCAUC